UUCUUUGAAGUCACUGCUUGAGCGCUGGAACCGCAUGCUGGAUAUACGCCUGACCGAGCUACUCUCCAUGGAGAAGGAAGCGGACCUGGCAGAGGAAGGCAGCAAUUGAUUGUUCCGCCCGGUCUCGUGGCUUCGACGCAGCAAAAGAAGGAGCAGCAUCAACCACAGCAGCAGCGCCACCUCCGGUUCUCAUGUUGGAGGCUCCUCCUCUCCGGCUCCACUGGCGGUUGCAAGUUAAAGGUCCUAUAUCACAGCAGCAGGGAAUCGUCGUCAGGAACCAGUUCUCCAAGUUUUCGGCGCCCUUUUGGAAUAAAUCAGGAGGACAUGCUUAAUGCGGCAAAGCUCAAGAUCAAGUUUCUAAAGGUGUGCAUUGUUUUCUAUCUUCUCUCCAGUUCCAGCUAGUGUCGUCUCUGCGGCUUGUUUCAUCUUGUCGCUCAUCUACAAGAUUCAUCUCAACACCGCAUCUUUGAUUCCAGAGUUUUGAUUUACCUGCUGGAGCGUACCACGCUUGAUCCUUGGUUUCUCCAGUUUUGUCCUUCGUCCUCUGGGAUGCGUCCGAAGGCGAGUCCUGGGCCUGCUCGUU
RNAcentral lists this long non-coding RNA (583 nucleotides) under Selaginella moellendorffii. RNAcentral describes it as "long non-coding RNA (SMOE_LNC000297)". The record is from RNAcentral. Lineage: Eukaryota; Viridiplantae; Streptophyta; Lycopodiopsida; Selaginellales; Selaginellaceae.